CUUCCCCUGAUAAAUCUAUAUUAGAAAAAUAGUCAAUUUAGUGCUGUUUAAAAUGAAUGGAUCUCUAUUUCAAGAUGGCAUGUCUAGUACACUUACGUGCACUGCCUCACAAGCACACUGAAAUGACACAAAAGAUUAUAAGCCAGAAGCAAACAAAGGCAGGCAAGGAAAUUUGAGGUUGUUGCAUCUGGAAGUAAACAUUUGGCUACUUCUAAUAAAACAGAGGGACAAAUUUUGAUGACCUGAAAAAUUCAGUUCUAUCUUUUGAUUUGGUCUGGAUACUUGGAGGUCAGCAACCGAGAGCAGGAAGGAGGCACAGCAACAACAGAACAACAACAAGGGGCUGCGACAGGGGCGGCGUGGGUCAAAAGGAAGCAACCUGGAGGAGAGUCCUCCUUGCGGCUUGGAGCAGAGCUUCAGGUUGGGCACCACGACAGAGCUGGGCCAGAAGUCUAACACAGCCCGUUUGGAACACAACCUGGGAUACUUGUGUGGUUGGGUUCAAUCAGUCAAGGGAAACAAGAAGCUAAUCCGUGGCUGGGAAUGCUCGUGGAAUACUCAGCGCAAAGACUGCCCGCAAGCACAAAGGGUAUCAACUCUUAGGUGCUCUGACCCUGGAGAAGAGGGAUUUCACUGAGAUGAGAAGGAUGCGUGAUGGGAUCCAUGGGCACUGGAGGCUUAUAUUUCCCUCUCAUGCCAUGCUCAAGUGAUGGGAGGGCAGAGGCAUGAGAGGGCGCUAAGGGACUAAACGCCAUGGCCACAGGAGCUCUGGCCAAGGCCCCAGGAGUCAAGAAGUACACAGAGGGCAUGGAUGCGUUGGAAAGGGGAGGUGCUGGCCUUUUAAAGAUCAUAUGGCUUGGACAAGGAACAUGUAAGUGGUAAAAAUGAAGGGCAGAGGCUUCUCCCCCAGUAUUCUUCUUUGUGUAAGGCCCUUUCCAUGUCCCUGCCCCCUCAUAUUCCCUUAUUCCCCAAACGUGUCUGAGAUUGACUUUCCUGUCUACCCUAGUGAGUGGGUGGGGAGGACAAGCCAGGUUUGUUGGCUUCAGAAAGGUAAGUACACCACUUGCAUUUGAGGGGUAUGUAACAAAUUCAUACUGUAUCCAUCAUGCAUACUUGAUGGAGGAAUAUAUACUCCAAGAGGAAUCAGCUUUAAAAAGCUAAAUUAUAAGGUACUUAGAAUUCGAAAUGCAAUUUCUCUCUUGUAGAAAGUUUUAUAAAUGCCAACUGCCCUCUUGCAUGAUCCCACAAAAGCUUACCAUCAAUAUAAAAUGUAGUAUAUAGAUUCAAGAUCUCUUAUUGUAAACCCUUGGAACCACACUGUUUCAGAAUUUGGGGGUGGGUUUUAAAGGUGAGUGCAUAUAUGGUAUUUUCCACAGUUCUCUCAUUGGGGUCUGGAACAACACCCUUUAAUGAAACUAUAUUUUUGCAGUGAAAUUAUAAUCACUAUUCACACUAAGUGAAAUAAGUAAAGAUCUGUUUCAUAUUAGUUCAAAUAAGGUUUUUGUUGCCAAAUCAACUUUGAUGCCAAGGAUAUGAAAGAUGUUGGGUUUUUGGAGAUUUGUAAAUUUCAAAUGUGGACAAGGAAUUGUGUGUUUGUAGGAUCUAACCAUGAUGUUCAUUUUUGAUGGAGUCCAGGCAUGAGAAAAGGAGUGGACUUUUCAUUUCCUGCCCUGGGCCUUGCCAGUGGAGGUAGGACCCCCAGCUCUCUAGAAAAGUAACAUUUAACCUUUUGAGACUCUGGUGAAAGGUACAGGGCCUUCUAGAAAAGUUUACGAACACACAUAGACACAAAAAAAUGCAUAGAAUUUCAUGGGGUUCACAGACAUGUGUCUUAGAUAAAGAAUCCCUGCGCUAUAGCAGGGGAACUGAAGAUUCUGGGUGUUCCAGAAGUGGCACAGAGGGUCUUGGACACAGCUGGUAACAGCAGACUGGGGAUGCAAGACACAGGGUGGACAUGGCGGUGGCAGAUGCACCCCCCAAACAGCAGGCCCUUUAUUGUCCUCCUGUUGACUGAAGUGCUCUGAUGGUCAACGUGGACAAGAGCCCCAGCUGUUUCUAUAUAAGGAAUACUUAUGAGCUCAAGAUUGCCUCAAAUGGGAGGAAGGAAUUACAGUCUGGGCAGGGAAGGAGGAAGAGAGGAGAUCAAAGAUAACACAAGCUAAUUCCAAUUUGGACAGCUGGGAGUUGACAGAGCUGGUACUUUAAAAAUCUACAAAGAGCCGGGCGCGGUGGCUCACGCCUGUAAUCCCAGCACUUUGGGAGGCCGAGGCAGGCGGAUCACGAGGUCAGGAGAUCGAGACCAUCCUGGCUAACACGGUGAAACCCUGUCUCUACUAAAAAUACAAAAAAUUAGCCAGGCGUAGUGGCGGGUGCCUGUAGUCCCAGCUACUCAGGAGGCUGAGGCAGGAGAAUGGCGUGAACCCGGGAGGCAGAGCUUGCAGUGAGCCGAGAUCGCGCCACUGCACUCCAGCCUGGGUGACAGAGCAAGACUCUGUCUCAAAAAAAAAAAAAAAAAAAAAAAAAAAAUCUACAAAGAAAUGACAUUAUUAACAGCCUUUUGAACCAUCUCUGUUUCAAAAGAUGGUGUUUGCCAAUAUGUCUCACCAGACUUGGAGACCAUCCUUUUGGGGUGCUGAGAUAGGUAUUUACAUUUCACUGGCAAUUCAAACACUGAUUCUUCAGCUGAGAUGAAAGGCAAGAAGCCAGUGAAAUCCAAGUAUUGUGGUACUCUGUAACAAGGCCACCUGUUAACUAAAAACGGAACUAACCUCACUAGUAGGCUCCAGUAGGGUAAGCCAUGCAGGGGGCUAGGCUUUACACGUGAAGCCUUUCUGUUAUUUUAUAAUUACUCUUAAUUUCUCUAUUUCCUAAUUUCUUCUAUAAAAGUUCACCUAUAAUACACAUUUACAAUAUGGGAAAACAAUAAAACUGAGUAUGAACCACUUCAAACACUAGUGCAGUAAAAUAACAUCAUUAUGACAGAAAUUUGGUCUUGCUUGGGAAAUUUUACUCCUUACCUUUAGAUUGGGAGAUUUUAGAAACAUUAUACUUUUUCUUCUCCUUUUCUUUUACCACAGGCUG
Gorilla gorilla gorilla (western lowland gorilla) is the source of this 3081-nucleotide long non-coding RNA. RefSeq lists it as uncharacterized. NCBI's taxonomy places the organism in Eukaryota, Metazoa, Chordata, Mammalia, Primates, Hominidae. The transcript has 4 exons. The record is from RefSeq and is a predicted model, not a curated record.